This 1222-nucleotide long non-coding RNA is filed under the name Vulpes vulpes (red fox). Its description in RNAcentral is "lncRNA (ENSVVUG00000013978.1)". The record is from RNAcentral. Lineage: Eukaryota; Metazoa; Chordata; Mammalia; Carnivora; Canidae.
GAGACAACGUGGCUGUUCUUAAUCAGCUUUUCCCAGUGGGAGGAAGUCCUGUUUCCUUUGGAUUCCAGCUCUCCAUCAUUGUUCACCUGUAAGAUGAAGAACAUCAAAACUUGUCCUAAUUCUGCUCUCCUAGCAAUUCAUGAAUGAUUCCACUGAAGAUAUUGAAUAAUAUUGAAGAAAAAUAUGGAAGAUCAUGGGACAUUCUUAGUUUAAACAUCUUGUCUGAUAAUGAAGUGAAAACUGAUAAAUCUUUCCUCUUCCUAAGUGGCCCCCUAGAACUGAGUGUGGGGUUGACCAGAACUCUCUGCUAUCUCUGCAACUUAUCUGUAAGUCUAAAACUAUUCUAUUUUUUUAAAGUGGCCUCUACAUAACCACUGACAAAUGUUUAUUCAAUCUUCCUACAAGCACCACUUCAGAGGAAAGAAAUUUCAUUCCAUGUUUUAACACCUAAAAUUCUAAAUUCUUCUUAAUUUUCAGCCCAAAUAUGCUUUAUACAAAGCUAUCCUUCCAAGGUCCCAGAGAGGUUUCUGCAAAGCUAUGUGGAAUAAGUUUACUUCCUUUUCCAAAGGUUCUUUUUAUUAUAAUUUUAUCCUUAGAUUUUUCUCCAAAGUAAAUCUCUGCCUCAACCCCCUACUUGCCCAUCUCUGGUUUCACAUCCAGUUGCCAGUGGACCCUCUUUAAACUAGGCCCCCCUACUAGACAGAGCACUCUGGUGUGGUUUGACCUUGUUGGUUUCAGGCAUUCCUCUGUGGUAGUAAAGGCCAUACACGCACAUGGCCCUUUUCAGCAAUAGCCUGUGCUGUUUGUUGGCUCAUACUGCGCUUGUGGAAAUGAAAUCCCCUACAUCUUCCCCGUAUGACCUGGGGUAGAGUCAGCUUUCCUCUCCACAUUCUAACCAAGCUAUACUCACAGAGUUUAUUUUUUAAGCCAAGCAUAGAACUUUACUGGUAGAGUUCAUCUUGUAAGUUUCUCCUACCUAUCAACACUGCAACAGAAUUGAAGAAUACUAGGAAUAAGAAAUUCUGGGUGUAGGGAUCCCUGGGUGGCUCAGCAGUUUAGCACCUGCCUUCGGCCCUGGGUGUGUUCCCAGAGUCCCAGGAUCGAGUCCCACAUCGGGCUCCCUGCAGGGAGCCUGCUUCUCCCUCUGCCUGUGCCUCUGCCUCUCUGUCUCUCUGUGUCUCUCAUGAAUAAAUAAANNNNNNNCCCCCCCCCUCUCCGUGUC